Long non-coding RNA from Oxyura jamaicensis (ruddy duck), 375 nucleotides. RefSeq lists it as uncharacterized. NCBI's taxonomy places the organism in Eukaryota, Metazoa, Chordata, Aves, Anseriformes, Anatidae. The record is from RefSeq and is a predicted model, not a curated record. The transcript has 3 exons.
GCUGUAUCAGAGCAGCCUGACCAAUUGCAUUUUGCAGAUGAAUAAACGGAGACUCCAGACCCUUAAGGACUCCUGCUCCAGGAUAGCUUGAAUUUGGUGAAAAAAAAAAUAUUACAAAAAUGCUGGAUGGGCUCAUGUGCUACUUCAACAGCAGAAUGGAAACAAAAGGUGGAGCAACAUGGAGAGGGGGGCAGCCAGAUAGCGAGGAACUGCUGCUGCAGCAGUACUUCAGGGCUGGAGGUGCUUGCAUGUUUUGCAUUGCAGGGUGCAUGUACUCAAGUACAGAAAGCUCUGCUCGCUGGCAUCCCUCAUGAUGUUCUAUCAGCCUAUUUUUGCACUGGCAAGGAGGCGCUCUUUCAGUUUUCAUUAGGUGAG